RNAcentral lists this ribosomal RNA (479 nucleotides) under uncultured bacterium. RNAcentral describes it as "bacterial SSU rRNA". It matches the Rfam family "Bacterial small subunit ribosomal RNA", at positions 30 to 507 of the family's 1533-position model. The record is from RNAcentral.
AUUGAACGCUGGCGGAAUGCUUUACACAUGCAAGUCGAACGGUAGAGGGGGCAACCCCUCGAGAGUGGCGAACGGGUGAGUAAUAUAUCGGAACGUGCCCAGUCGUGGGGGAUAACGUAGUGAAAAUUACGCUAAUACCGCAUACGAUCUAAGGAUGAAAGCGGGGGAUCGCAAGACCUCGCGCGAUUGGAGCGGCCGAUAUCAGAUUAGGUAGUUGGUAGGGUAAAGGCCUACCAAGCCAACGAUCUGUAGCUGGUCUGAGAGGACGACCAGCCACACUGGAACUGAGACACGGUCCAGACUCCUACGGGAGGCAGCAGUGGGGAAUUUUGGACAAUGGGCGAAAGCCUGAUCCAGCCAUUCCGCGUGCAGGAUGAAGGCCCUCGGGUUGUAACUGCUUUUGUACAGAACGAAAAGGUCUCUAUUAAUACUAGGGGCUCAUGACGGUACUGUAAGAAUAAGCACCGGCUAACUACGUG